UUCCUUGUUUGAUGGUGUAUGUUUCACCGUUUGGUUAAUAUAUACCUUGUCUCCUACCUGUGGGUUUUCCCUUGCUUGUAUGGUUGGGAUUGGAUGUCAGUCUCUAUUUUUAGUGUGACUGGUUGAGUCAAAAUUUGCCUUGAAAUCUCUGUGGGAGCAAAGUGGGCUUUAGAAGAUGGUGAGAGAGGUUCUGUGAUCAUAGAGCCUUCAGUCAAUGCAGCUGAAAGGGUGGAUGCAAUUUCUAUUUCUUUUCUGCAUGCCAAAACAGCUGGCAAGAGCCCAUAAUAACUAGUUGUAAUAUUAUCUGUUAAGGGAUAUUGGCCAAAACUUUGGCUUUUUAGCAGCUUAGAUCCACCCUUCAUAGUGAGACUCUGCCCUACUGUGCAGUGGAACUGUGCUUCCGUGAGGGCUGCAGGACAACCAAGCCAAGUUCCCUCAGUAGCGGAGGAACUGAGCAGCCAUGAAACCCUGGAGAAAAAAUGGUAUCAUGUUGUAAGAAUCUUGGACUGCCCAGAACUUCCCUGCCCCACAGUGUAACCUGUGUGGUUACAGCCUUAGAGAACUGUUUUAUGACAUUGCAAUGAUAGUGGAUUCUUCUUGCCUUUGCUGUUACAUAGCACAAUAUCUGUUACAUACCAGUGGUGUCUUCUAAAAAGGAACUCGCUCAGUGCUGAUCCUUCAGGGACAAGCAGUGUCCCCUGUCCCUAAGACAUGUAAAACAGUUAACAGAAUAAAUGUAUCCUCAAUUUGGUCAUUAUUACAACCUUAGCAUGAAAAACAUAGGAUACCAGAGUUUUAAAAAAGGUUUGUUUGCUUUUGUCCCCACUCCAUGAACUGUCUCCAAAAAAAAAAAAAAAGAAAAAGAAAAAAAAGUCUUCUGUAGAAAUAGAUCUUUGUAUGAAGAAAUACCCUUAUUUAUGGAAUUAAAAGAAAAAUUAAAAAAAACGUUCACCCAAACACCCAUUUUAGCAUCCCUUAGGUGAAGUAGAACUGGAAUCACUUCCAGAAAACAUUUAAAUAUUUUGAUUUUUUUGCAAUAUUAUUUGUUUUGAGACUCCACUCCCAGGAACGUCAUCUUAGCUUCACAAACAAAAUGUGGUUUUGGUAGUAAGUUCUUAUAUAAAAGAAUACUGGAAUUGAUUUUUGCCUCCACAUUAACUUCAUAGGCUGCUAAAUGUCAUGGACAGAAAACACAGUUUUAUUCUUCUAAUUCUGAGCUUCAAACUGAAACUAGAAACUAGUUUGAUUACCAUUCAGUUCCACUGAGAAACACUUCAUGGAAAUGGUGUAGAAGUAAAUGAGGGAUAUUUUGGUAAUGCUUUUAAUUGAAGACACUGGACUUCAGCAUAGAGCUGACAUAGAGCAUAGAGCCCACAAAGGAAUUUUACAGCUGGGGUAAGUGAUUUGUAUUGUUCGGAAGGGGCUGUUUGUUUAGCUUGUAGCCUGCCUGGAUCUGCCUGACAUCUCGUCUGUUUGUGAUU
This is a long non-coding RNA of Oxyura jamaicensis (ruddy duck), 1481 nucleotides long. RefSeq lists it as uncharacterized. The transcript is spliced from 2 exons. The record is from RefSeq and is a predicted model, not a curated record. NCBI's taxonomy places the organism in Eukaryota, Metazoa, Chordata, Aves, Anseriformes, Anatidae.